ACAUGCCAGCAGCUCACUGCAAGUAUAAAUUAGGCAUCCAACUGCCAAUUAGGCAUGCAAGAGUCAGACCAAUUCAAAACAUGAUUCUGUUGAUCUUUUAGAUUGCAGUACCUGCUUUUGUAUUUUAUGCACGCUCUAUUUGGCGGGGGAGAGGUUAGUUUUCAUGUGCUAAAUAGCAUGAUUAUAAAUUCUGGUCUACACCUAUGAACAAGACGUUAUUUUUUUUAAUCCCCUCAUUCAAAAUAGGUGAGGAUUUUCUUUGCUGAAUUGAGGGUACCAAUGCAUAAUGUGCUUAAGCAAGUGCUUGGCUUUAAGCACCUGCUCACAUGCCUUGUUGAAUAGGGAUGUACUUAAGCAUGUGUUUAAAAGCUUAAUUGGGGAGAGAUAAUUUUUGAGUAAACGAACACCACAAAAUAUUAAACAGUGUGGUUUUUUUUCAAGCUCAUUCCUCUCCUGAUGUGCUUGACCGAGCCCCUAGAACAUUCCAUGUGUGUUGCAUCAUUAUGCAGAAGCUGAGAUCUGAUCUCUUCAGGAAUUCUUCCUUUACGAUCUACAGAUGUGCUACUGAGAGAUUCUCCCCUCCACAUACACGCUUUCCUGGGCUACAUGCAGUGUGAAGGUUUGGCUAAGGUGAAGCAGAUGGAUCAAGCUUACAUUCGCUAGGACAAGUGUUUUAGAUUCUCCACUUGAUUUGACCCUGCCUAUCAUCGUAAGGAACUAGCUCAGCCUCGUUGUCAGCAUCGUCGUCAUCUUCUGGAUCAGAAGGAGGAGCAGCGUGGUUAAAAAGAUAGCAGUCAGGUAGGACACAGCCCAAGGAAAGGAAGCAGUUGUCCUGGCUGUCAUUCCUAUGCUGAACAUUUCAGUAUUGGAGACCAUCACCACACCAUGGCUGAGGAUACUUUGCUUUCUCGUGCCAUUCAGGGCUGCCUAUAGCCCAUUCUUU
This 943-nucleotide long non-coding RNA is filed under the name Chrysemys picta bellii (western painted turtle). RNAcentral describes it as "lncRNA (ENSCPBG00000027078.1)". The record is from RNAcentral. Lineage: Eukaryota; Metazoa; Chordata; Testudines; Emydidae.